CCUACGGGAGGCAGCAGUGAGGAAUAUUGGUCAAUGGGCGCGAGCCUGAACCAGCCAAGUAGCGUGAAGGAUGACUGCCCUAUGGGUUGUAAACUUCUUUUAUAAAGGAAUAAAACGAGGCACGUGUGCCUUGUUGCAUGUACUUUAUGAAUAAGGAUCGGCUAACUCCGUGCAAGCAGCCGCGGUAAUACGGAGGAUCCGAGCGUUAUCCGGAUUUAUUGGGUUUAAAGGGAGCGUAGAUGGGUUGUUAAGUCAGUUGUGAAAGUUUGCGGAUCAACCGUAAAAUUGCAAUUGAUACUGGCAGUCUUGAGUACAGUUGAGGUAGGCGGAAUUCGUGGUGUAGCGGUGAAAUGCUUAGAUAUCACGAAGAACCCCGAUUGCGAAGGCAGCUUACUAAACUGUGACUGACAUUGAUGCUCGAAAGUGUGGGUAUCAAACAGGAUUAGAUACCCCGGUAGUC
RNAcentral lists this ribosomal RNA (460 nucleotides) under uncultured bacterium. Its description in RNAcentral is "partial 16S ribosomal RNA". It matches the Rfam family "Bacterial small subunit ribosomal RNA", at positions 338 to 795 of the family's 1533-position model. The record is from RNAcentral.